This 354-nucleotide long non-coding RNA is filed under the name Notechis scutatus (mainland tiger snake). RNAcentral describes it as "lncRNA (ENSNSUG00000001419.1)". The record is from RNAcentral. Lineage: Eukaryota; Metazoa; Chordata; Lepidosauria; Squamata; Elapidae.
AGGGGCCUUCAGGGCCUCAAGGACCAACAGGAUUUCCUGGACCCAAAGGCCCUCCGGGUCCACCAGGAAAAGACGGAUUGCCAGGCCAUCCUGGGCAGAGAGGUGAAACGGGCUUCCAAGGGAAGACAGGUCCACCUGGACCCCCAGGUGUUGUUGGUCCACAGGGCCCUACAGGAGAAACAGGCCCAAUGGGUGAACGUGGCCAUCCGGGCCCUCCCGGCCCCCCUGGGGAACAGGGACUCCCUGGCUUGGCUGGAAAAGAAGGAACAAAGGGUGACCCAGGCCCCGCCGGUUUGCCUGGGAAAGACGGCCCAGCAGGCUUCAGAGGCUUCCCCGGAGACCGAGGACUCCCCG